AUGAACGCUGGCGGCGUGCCUAAUACCUGCAAGUCGAGCGAACAGACGAGGAGCUUGCUCCUCUGACGUUAGCGGCGGACGGGUGAGUAACACGUGGAUAACCUACCUAUAAGACUGGGAUAACUUCGGGAAACCGGAGCUAAUACCGGAUAAUAUAUUGAACCGCAUGGUUCAAUAGUGAAAGACGGUUUUGCUGUCACUUAUAGAUGUAUCCGCGCCGCAUUAGCUAGUUGGUAAGGUAACGGCUUACCAAGGCAACGAUGCGUAGCCGACCUGAGAGGGUGAUCGGCCACACUGGAACUGAGACACGGUCCAGACUCCUACGGGAGGCAGCAGUAGGGAAUCUUCCGCAAUGGGCGAAAGCCUGACGGAGCAACGCCGCGUGAGUGAUGAAGGUCUUCGGAUCGUAAAACUCUGUUAUUAGGGAAGAACAAAUGUGUAAGUAACUAUGCACGUCUUGACGGUACCUAAUCAGAAAGCCACGGCUAACUACGUG
Molecule: ribosomal RNA, 496 nt
Filed under: uncultured bacterium
Lineage: Bacteria
Description: partial 16S ribosomal RNA
Rfam family: Bacterial small subunit ribosomal RNA
Source: RNAcentral